GAUGAACGCUGGCGGCGUGCUUAACACAUGCAGGUCGAACGAAGCAUUUAAGACAGAUUACUUCGGUUUGAAGUCUUUUAUGACUGAGUGGCGGACGGGUGAGUAACUCGUGGGUAACCUGCCUCAUACGGGGGGAUAGCAGCUUGAAACGGCUGGUAAUACCGCAUAAGCGCACAGUACCACAUGGUACAGUGUGAAAAACUCCGGUGGUAUGAGAUGGACCCGCUUCUGAUUGUCUUGUUGGCGGGGUAACGGCCCACCAAGGCGACGAUCAGGAGCCGAGAUGAGAGGGUGACCGGCCACAUUGGGACUGAGACACGGCCCAGAAUCCUACGGAAGGCAGCAGUGGGGAAUAUUGCAAAAUGGAGGAAACUAUGAUGCAGCGACGCCGCGUGAGUGAAGAAGUAGUUCGCUAUGUAAAGCUCUAUCAGAAGGGAAGAUAGUGACGGUACCUGACUAAGAAGCUCCGGCUAAAUACGUG
This 481-nucleotide ribosomal RNA is filed under the name uncultured bacterium. Its description in RNAcentral is "partial 16S ribosomal RNA". It matches the Rfam family "Bacterial small subunit ribosomal RNA", at positions 28 to 507 of the family's 1533-position model. The record is from RNAcentral.